Molecule: transfer RNA, 90 nt
Filed under: Caldalkalibacillus thermarum TA2.A1
Lineage: Bacteria; Bacillati; Bacillota; Bacilli; Caryophanales; Bacillaceae
Rfam family: tRNA
About the family: Transfer RNA (tRNA) molecules are approximately 80 nucleotides in length. Their secondary structure includes four short double-helical elements and three loops (D, anti-codon, and T loops). Further hydrogen bonds mediate the characteristic L-shaped molecular structure. tRNAs have two regions of fundamental functional importance: the anti-codon, which is responsible for specific mRNA codon recognition, and the 3' end, to which the tRNAs corresponding amino acid is attached (by aminoacyl-tRNA synthetases). tRNAs cope with the degeneracy of the genetic code in two manners: having more than one tRNA (with a specific anti-codon) for a particular amino acid; and 'wobble' base-pairing, i.e. permitting non-standard base-pairing at the 3rd anti-codon position.
Source: Rfam by way of RNAcentral
GGAGGAGUACCCAAGCGGCCGAAGGGGGCGGUCUCGAAAACCGCUAGGGCGUCGAAUGGCGUCGCGGGGGUUCGAAUCCCCCCUCCUCCG